AUUCCAUGAUGAGGGCACUUUCGUAAUAACUCUCUGUACCUUUCCGAUGCCUCAUACAGGGACUCAUCAUCCAUUUGUUGGAAGGCAUAGAUCUCAUUCCUCAACUU
This is a small nucleolar RNA of Gossypium raimondii (Peruvian cotton), 107 nucleotides long. It matches the Rfam family "Plant small nucleolar RNA R71". From Rfam's summary of the family: R71 is a member of the C/D box family of snoRNAs containing the C (UGAUGA) and D (CUGA) box motifs. Lineage: Eukaryota; Viridiplantae; Streptophyta; Magnoliopsida; Malvales; Malvaceae. The record is from Rfam.